UGAAAAGGAGACCAAAGUGGAUCAUGAACUCUCCAAAUUCCCAAACAAGUUUGCUUGCUAAUGAGAUCGGGGGAUCCUAGCCCUUUUUUUGGACAACUUCCUACAGAGAUGCCUCUUUAGCUCACUCCAUGGCAGCUGUUUAAUGAAGUCAGGUCUUUCCUAAAGGGCUAUCUAAUGGAAUUCCCCAAUGUUAAUGGUGAAGGCUUAGUUGAGUCUACUUCUGGCCAUGAAUGACUAAGGAAACGGUAUUGUGUGAACCAGGAAGAGGAAGAAGCUGAAGUGAGAGUGGAAGAAACCUAGAGGUGGGACACCAGGAAACAAUCAGAAGGACAGCUCUACCAUCUAUUACAAUUGUGGAGACACUGGUUAUGUUCAGGUUGGAUGUACUCAUGAAGAAAAUGAAGCUUUGGUGCUAUGAAACUAAGGUCUGUUAAGACCAGCAGUAGGAGGAAAAGCAGGGUCCAGAGAAGGAACCAUCUCUGAAGAUUUAAAACAGUGAGGAUGAACUCAUCAUCGAUCAUCUAUGGAGUUAUGCCACCCAGAUUCAUAGGACCCUGAAUAAAGUUAACUGUGAUGACUGGGGGUGUGGCA
Molecule: long non-coding RNA, 591 nt
Filed under: Phascolarctos cinereus (koala)
Lineage: Eukaryota; Metazoa; Chordata; Mammalia; Diprotodontia; Phascolarctidae
Description: lncRNA (ENSPCIG00000001622.2)
Source: RNAcentral